GGGGGGGUUGUGAUUGGCUGAUGUGGCGAUAGAGGCGGGAGAAGCCGGAGUUGAAUUGGCCGUUGGGCGGCGAGGGACAGGAGCCGCUCCUGAGGUAGUUUCCACGUUUGGGCCUGUCAGUAUUUUCUCCUGAAAAGGCUCUUUCGUCGCUUCGACGACCUACAGUUAUGCGGGGUGACUUACAACGUGAACUCCAUGGUUCUAUGAAAUACAACCAAAACGGCACAGCACCAGCCCUUUCCAUUUCAAAGCAGCCAUAGUUCCCAAGGACCUUUCAUUAAAAGCAGCAGCAGCAGCCAGCUCACAUGCCAACGGCAGAAGGACCCAAGGAGGGAGCCAGUCUGGCUUCUCCAGAGUGUGGGAACAGCCACUGAGAAGGCCCCUUUGGCAGACACACUUUGACUUGUUACCAUAAGCGUUGUAUAAAUAUACCAGCAAUGAACUUAGACACUGCUGUGGAUACCUUUUUGUUCCAUCAGGCUUUCUAUGAGGGGGAUCCAUGUGAUACUGCAUGCCUGGUGUGUACCUGCUCUCUCAUUCCCAGCAGGUGAUCAGCAUAAGAAACCCAGUGUGACCAAAAGACACACCAAUAUUGUAGCCUUGUAGAUGACGAAGAAGAAAAAUAGCUGGGUGUGAUGUGGAUACCGAUGUUCAAGUAACCUCUAAAGCUAGACAUCAAGUGAGGAUGGGG
Podarcis muralis (Common wall lizard) is the source of this 691-nucleotide long non-coding RNA. RefSeq lists it as uncharacterized. NCBI's taxonomy places the organism in Eukaryota, Metazoa, Chordata, Lepidosauria, Squamata, Lacertidae. The record is from RefSeq and is a predicted model, not a curated record.